GUGAGGAAUAUUGGGCAAUGGGCGCAAGCCUGACCCAGCAACGCCGCGUGAAGGAAGACGGUCUUCGGAUUGUAAACUUCUUUUGUCAGGGACGAAUAAUGACGGUACCUGGCGAAUAAGCCACGGCUAACUACGUGCCAGCAGCCGCGGUAAUACGUAGGUGGCAAGCGUUGUCCGGAUUUACUGGGUGUAAAGGGCGAGUAGGCGGAUUUGCAAGUCAGGUGUGAAAGCCCGGGGCUUAACCCCGGGUCUGCAUUUGAAACUGCGGAUCUUGAGUAUCGGAGAGGCAGGCGGAAUUCCCGGUGUAGCGGUGGAAUGCGUAGAUAUCGGGAGGAACACCAGUGGCGAAGGCGACUUACUGGACUGUAACUGACGCUGAGGCGCGAAAGUGUGGGGAGCAAACAGGAUUAGAAACCCGGGUAGUCC
RNAcentral lists this ribosomal RNA (426 nucleotides) under uncultured bacterium. RNAcentral describes it as "partial 16S ribosomal RNA". It matches the Rfam family "Bacterial small subunit ribosomal RNA", at positions 354 to 796 of the family's 1533-position model. The record is from RNAcentral.